GACGAACGCUGGCGGCGUGCCUAAUACAUGCAAGUUGAGCGCUGAAGGUUGGUACUUGUACCAACUGGAUGAGCAGCGAACGGGUGAGUAACGCGUGGGGAAUCUGCCUUUGAGCGGGGGACAACAUUUGGAAACGAAUGCUAAUACCGCAUAAAAACUUUAAACACAAGUUUUAAGUUUGAAAGAUGCAAUUGCAUCACUCAAAGAUGAUCCCGCGUUGUAUUAGCUAGUUGGUGAGGUAAAGGCUCACCAAGGCGAUGAUACAUAGCCGACCUGAGAGGGUGAUCGGCCACAUUGGGACUGAGACACGGCCCCAACUCCUACGGGAGGCAGCAGUAGGGAAUCUUCGGCAAUGGACGAAAGUCUGAACGAGCAACGCCGCGUGAGUGAAGAAGGUUUUCGGAUCGUAAAAAUCUGUUGGUAGAGAAGAACGUUGGUGAGAGUGGAAAGCUCAUCAAGUGACGGUAACUACCCAGAAAGGGACGGCUAACUACGUG
RNAcentral lists this ribosomal RNA (497 nucleotides) under uncultured bacterium. RNAcentral's name for it is "partial 16S ribosomal RNA". It matches the Rfam family "Bacterial small subunit ribosomal RNA", at positions 28 to 507 of the family's 1533-position model. The record is from RNAcentral.